Molecule: long non-coding RNA, 2499 nt
Organism: Phyllostomus hastatus (greater spear-nosed bat)
Lineage: Eukaryota; Metazoa; Chordata; Mammalia; Chiroptera; Phyllostomidae
Exons: 3
Source: RefSeq, a predicted model, not a curated record
UUAAUUGGAAUUCUAAAAGGAAGAAAAUGAGUGUGUUUCCUACAGAUGUUCACUUCACGUCGGAGAAAGUCACCCACCAGGUCCAUCUUGUCGCGAGACCUGAGCUUUUCACUGGGUGCGUACAUGUGGUCAUCUACUGCCUCUGAGAGAGGGGAAAGGAGGGAGAAAGAAAGCAAGAGAAACACGGACACAAGAGGGAAACAUCAUCUGCACCCUCACCAGGGACCACGCCCGCAGCGCGAAUGCAGCACUUUCGUGGCAAAUGAAGACCUGCGCAGACAGCUUCACUGAGCCCAGGGAGUCAGCGGGGCCGCGUGGCACACGGUCCCUGCGGGACGCGCGGGGUGCUGUCUAGCAAACCCGGACGAGCAUGGCGUGGCUGUCGCUCAGCCAGGAUUUUGACUUCACAUGCGUCUAUUGAACGGAACACAGGGUUGCCACAAAGUAAUAUUUUAAAACAAACACAGGAAAAUCACCCCACUGCAAAUCCAUGUGGUGACAUCCUAAUGCCCAGCGUGAUGGUGUGAGAAGCGGGGUCUUUGGGAGGUGAGUGGAUCGUGAGGGUGGAGCCCCGGUGAAUGGGAUUAGCGUUCUUAUAAAAGAGGCCCCAGAGGGAGGUCUUGUUCUCUCACCCCGUGUGGGGACAUGUCUGCAGCCUGGAAGAGGGCCCUCACCCAACCACGCUGGCUCCCUGCUCUCAGACUUCCAGGCUCCAGAACUCUGGGAACUGAACGUUCAUUGUUUGGAAGCUUCCCCAUCUGUGGUAUUUCGUUAUAGCAAUCUGAGCAGACUGAGGCAAGCAUCACCAUGCCAUCCGAACAAUGUGGCUUCUGAACAGGGGAUGGUGUCCCUGCUCAGGAAUUAGGAAGUCACAGGGUUCCCUGUUCUGCCCACAGCCUCACCACCUGGGAGCCACGGGCCGCAGAGCACCAGUUCCAGGGUUGGUGGGAGACAAUACUUGGUCAGAUCCGGGUGUGUCAGCCCUGACAUGGUUAUUCGCUCCCAACCAGCAACCACAGUCAGAAUACAUUGUUUGGGGAUCCAAAAAUGGAAAUACAGUGGUAUCUCUCAACAUUCCAUCUAAUAAUUCAUUCACAAAAGGUGAAAAGUUUGAUUAUCUUCAGUGCUGCUGGUUUAGAAGUCUGAGAUGCCACAGACACGAUUAUUCCACCAUCAGAGUCCACCUUGUUCCCAUAGCUACGAACUGCCCUUUGCCCAUUUCAGGCUCCUUGCGUCCCUGCAUAAACAGGGGACAAAGGAGGGUUACCACUUUCACUGGGGAGAUUAGAAUGGUUACUAAGGGGAACUGGAGUUGCUGUUGAAUUAGGCAGACAAUGGGAGAAUAGUCCUCAAACCAAGAAAUCCUAUGGGGUUGUCCCAUAUCAUGUCGUGUCAAGUGGAAAAAGUCACCGGGAGACCAGGGGAACCAAUACCACAAGGACCUCACUAAGACUCGUGCCCUUCGUGCGUGAAGGUUGAGUUAUUCCCUGAAUAAAGAACCGUAACCUGCCGAGGCCCUGGCUGAGGCAAAGAACUGGCAGUGGAGUGAAGAAGCUAUAAAUAACAAACACUAAAUGAAGCCUCAUGAUCAGCUGUAGUUGACAUAUUUCUUCUCUCCAAGCUGUGUCAUAUCUUCGUCUUUUUCCAUUUUCCCUCUUGCUUUACAGAGAGACAGUUUAUCAUUGUGUCCACAGGUUGGACUGUAACAGUACAAGAUCGUAAUUAAACUAAAGAGGGGAAGACAAGAGCCAGGGAUGAAGGCUGCAACUGAUGACACUUUGGGUCUCUGCUUUGGAAGUGAAGUUGCAUGUAUUCCCAUUUGCAUGAGGGUUGAUUUCGCUAUAAUAAUGAGAGCAUUUUUGUGGUCGUUAUUGCGGUUUGAAAGUGAAGUCCUGGAAGAAGGGUGUUCGCUGUUGUCAAGUAGCCAAAGGUGAGACUGUGGCAAAAUCUGAUACUGGCUUCACCCAGGCUAUUCCAAACCCUUGUGCUGGGCCCUGAUGCAAGCUGGAGGCUGAGAAACCAAAGACUACCUUUCCCAGACAUCCUUCCAGCACAGAUCUCCCAUGUGACCUUGCCACCCCAGCCCUCUCUAAAAUAGAAUGGGAGAAGCAGUGGGGAGGCCCAGAUCUGGGCUACGUUUUCAGCUGCAAUAGAAAUUUCAGGAGUGUUGGAGUAGAAAGAUGGGAGUUUGAAUCCUGCCUCCAGGUCUUAUGAGAAUGUGGGUAAUUUCCCGGCCUUCUCAGAGCUGAGCCUCAGCAUCGCAGAUGCAUACUAAUAACCCACUAUGGAAAACUUGUUACAGGAAAUAAGUAAGAUCGUGAGUGUAAACCCCCUGACAGAGCACCUGGCACAUGGCAUCAGAUGUUGGUUCCUCAUUCCUUAACAACUGAGAGAUCUACCUGUUUAGCAGUUUGGUAAUUCAUCCAAUCUUUCCCAGAGGUAUAAUGAGUGAAAAAAAUAUAUAUGCCACAUUGUGAGAAUGAUAAUAAAAGAAUUUGU